CGGCGGACGGGUGAGUAACGCGUGGGUGACCUGCCCCAUACCGGGGGAUAACAGCUGGAAACGGCUGCUAAUACCGCAUAAGCGCACAGAGCUGCAUGGCUCGGUGUGAAAAACUCCGGUGGUAUGGGAUGGGCCCGCGUCUGAUUAGGCAGUUGGCGGGGUAACGGCCCACCAAACCGACGAUCAGUAGCCGGCCUGAGAGGGCGACCGGCCACAUUGGGACUGAGACACGGCCCAA
This 238-nucleotide ribosomal RNA is filed under the name uncultured bacterium. RNAcentral describes it as "partial 16S ribosomal RNA". It matches the Rfam family "Bacterial small subunit ribosomal RNA", at positions 96 to 334 of the family's 1533-position model. The record is from RNAcentral.